GAUGAACGCUGGCGGCGUGCCUAAUACAUGCAAGUCGAGCGAACAGAUAAGGAGCUUGCUCCUUUGAAGUUAGCGGCGGACGGGUGAGUAACACGUGGGUAACCUACCUAUAAGACUGGGAUAACUUCGGGAAACCGGAGCUAAUACCGGAUAACAUUUAGAACCGCAUGGUUCUAAAGUGAAAGAUGGUUUUGCUAUCACUUAUAGAUGGACCCGCGCCGUAUUAGCUAGUUGGUAAGGUAACGGCUUACCAAGGCGACGAUGCGUAGCCGACCUGAGAGGGUGAUCGGCCACACUGGAACUGAGACACGGUCCAGACUCCUACGGGAGGCAGCAGUAGGGAAUCUUGCGCAAUGGGCGAAAGCCUGACGGAGCAACGCCGCGUGAGUGAUGAAGGGUUUCGGCUCGUAAAACUCUGUUAUUAGGGAAGAACAAAUGUGUAAGUAACUGUGCACAUCUUGACGGUACCUAAUCAGAAAGCCACGGCUAACUACGUG
This 497-nucleotide ribosomal RNA is filed under the name uncultured bacterium. Its description in RNAcentral is "partial 16S ribosomal RNA". It matches the Rfam family "Bacterial small subunit ribosomal RNA", at positions 28 to 507 of the family's 1533-position model. The record is from RNAcentral.